CUUCUGGAUACCUCCUGAAGGACUUGUCUGAGACUGUUUUACAGCAGCUAUUUUUUUUUAAAUAAGUAGAAGGAGUACAUGCUAAAAACCACAAUUAAAAUAGAAUAUAGUAAAUAAAGCAGUAGCAUAAUCGUUUAUUAUCAUUAUCAAACACUAUGUUCUGUACAUAACUGUGUGUGCUGGACUUUGAAAUGACUGGAAGCACGGCAGGUUUGUUUUCGCCAGCAUCACCAUAGGCAGGUCUUUGGCAGCGGCUGGGGCCAAAGCCCGGGCAAGACCAACGCCUUCGGCACCCGGACUCAGGCUCCGUCCUCUCUGCCAGCGUGCGGCUACAAUGACUCGACAUGGCAGGUGGGCAAGCACAGCACGCCCCAACAGACAUGCUUUAUUUAAUAUGUACUAAAAAUACAGCAGGCCUGUGAAACCCACAGGUGCAAUUGCUUAAAA
Homo sapiens (human) is the source of this 447-nucleotide long non-coding RNA. NCBI's taxonomy places the organism in Eukaryota, Metazoa, Chordata, Mammalia, Primates, Hominidae. The record is from Ensembl.